Peromyscus eremicus (cactus mouse) is the source of this 630-nucleotide long non-coding RNA. RefSeq lists it as uncharacterized. The transcript has 3 exons. NCBI's taxonomy places the organism in Eukaryota, Metazoa, Chordata, Mammalia, Rodentia, Cricetidae. The record is from RefSeq and is a predicted model, not a curated record.
GCGAACAUUCAAGAGAAAACUCUUUUCAAAAAAUAGGAAUACUAUGGGGCUAGAAAAGGCUUUGGAACCAGAAUGCAAGUACAGUGUUUCAGAAGUUACAGAAGAUGAACAACAUAACACGGGUUGUACAUUAGUUGAUUUUGUCCAACUGUAGACUAAUUCAAGUAUUCUGCACAUGUUUAAGGGAGCACAGACGAUCCAGGAGAAGGUCAGUAUCAGCGGGUAAUGAGAACGGCUGGUACUCAAGAGACUUUCCCACAAGCCAGACCCUAUCUCCUCCACUCUUCAUUGUGUCAGUUCCUGGGAUUCUCAUCCCCUGUGGCACGGCUCCAUUCUGCAGAUGGAGAAACUGAAGCACGAAAAGGUGAAAUAUUGACGAGCCCUUCAACACACAGCAGAGCUGGUCUUUCAACUCAGCCUAGUGUGGCUCCCACAUCUGAGCCUUCAGAGAAUGCCAGUAUCCAAGUAUUGCCAUGCUUCUAUCCUAAAGUAUAUAGAGGAAGAGUGCAGGAGCCUAUGCCCAAUGAGAAAGGUCAGCAGAGGGGUUUUAAUUCUGCCUCCCAACUUUCCUGAAUGUUCCAAUACCAAUAGGAUAUACAUUAAGUAGAAAGACACAAAUAGAGUGAAACU